This 249-nucleotide long non-coding RNA is filed under the name Cavia porcellus (domestic guinea pig). Its description in RNAcentral is "lncRNA (ENSCPOG00000037516.1)". Lineage: Eukaryota; Metazoa; Chordata; Mammalia; Rodentia; Caviidae. The record is from RNAcentral.
UGAUCAGUCAAACAUAAUGUAUUUCCCUGAUAUUUUCCAUUCACAGUUGGUUGAAACCAUAGUGAGAAUCUAUAGAUAAAGAGGAAGCCUAAAGGAAGCUACUGUUACCAAGAUGCAAUAUAGGUUCAUGGCUACAGACACCUCUACCCCGUAGCUAGACUUCCUCUUGUGAAAUUGUUUGCUCCUAGCACCAUUUGUGCACAAAAGAAGAAAGGCAACAAGGCUUGAACUCAUUGAGGUAUGAAAUAG